This 301-nucleotide ribosomal RNA is filed under the name uncultured bacterium. RNAcentral describes it as "partial 16S ribosomal RNA". It matches the Rfam family "Bacterial small subunit ribosomal RNA", at positions 509 to 808 of the family's 1533-position model. The record is from RNAcentral.
CAGUAGCCGCGGUAAUACAGAGGGUGCGAGCGUUAAUCGGAAUUACUGGGCGUAAAGGGCGCGUAGGCGGUUAGGAAGGUGUGAUGUGAAAGCCCUGGGCUUAACCUGGGCAGGUCAGAUAAUACUGGUUAACUCGAGUAUGGGAGAGGGUAGUGAAUUUCCGGUGUAGCGGUGAAAUGCGUAGAUAUGUGGAGGAACACCAGUGGCGAAGGCGACUCUCUGGUCUGUAACUGACGCUGAGGAGCGAAAGCGUGGGGAGCGAACAGGAUUAGAUACCCCCGUAGUCCCUGUCUCUUAUACA